UGGCGGACGGGUGAGUAAUGUCUGGGAAACUGCCUGAUGGAGGGGGAUAACUACUGGAAACGGUAGCAAAUACCGCAUAACGUCGCAAGACCAAAGAGGGGGACCUUCGGGCCUCUUGCCAUCGGAUGUGCCCAGAUGGGAUUAGCUAGUAGGUGGGGUAACGGCUCACCUAGGCGACGAUCCCUAGCUGGUCUGAGAGGAUGACCAGCCACACUGGAACUGAGACACGGUCCAGACUCCUACGGGAGGCAGCAUG
RNAcentral lists this ribosomal RNA (256 nucleotides) under uncultured bacterium. Its description in RNAcentral is "partial 16S ribosomal RNA". It matches the Rfam family "Bacterial small subunit ribosomal RNA", at positions 96 to 353 of the family's 1533-position model. The record is from RNAcentral.